UUGACCUCAAAUCGGGUGAGACUACCCGCUGAACUUAAGCAUAUCAAUAAGCGGAGGAAAAGAAACUAACAAGGAUUCCCCUAGUAACUGCGAGUGAAGCGGGAAAAGCUCAAAUUUAAAAUCUGGUGGCUUUGGUCAUCCGAGUUGUAAUUUAGAGAAGCGUCUUCCGCGCUGGACCGUGCACAAGUCUCCUGGAAUGGAGCGUCAUAGAGGGUGAGAAUCCCGUCUUUGGCACGGACGCACCAGGGCUUCUGUGAUGCGCUCUCGAAGAGUCGAGUUGUUUGGGAAUGCAGCUCAAAAUGGGUGGUGAACUCCAUCUAAAGCUAAAUAUUGGCGAGAGACCGAUAGCGAACAAGUACCGUGAGGGAAAGAUGAAAAGCACUUUGGAAAGAGAGUGAAACAGUACGUGAAAUUGUUGAAAGGGAAACGCUUGAAGUCAGUCGCGUCGACCGAGACUCAGCCUUGCCUCGGCUUGGUGUACUUCUCGGCCGACGGGUCAGCAUCAAUUUUGCCCCUCGGAUAAUGGCAAGGGAAAUGUGGCACCUUUGCGGGUGUGUUAUAGUCCUUUGUCGCAUGCGAGGGUUGGGAUUGAGGAACUCAGCACGCGCCUUUCGGCGUCGGGGCUCUGCCCACGAUACGUGCUUAGGAUGUUGGCGUAAUGGCUUUAAACGACCCGUC
RNAcentral lists this ribosomal RNA (678 nucleotides) under Russula fragilis. Its description in RNAcentral is "eukaryotic LSU rRNA". It matches the Rfam family "Eukaryotic large subunit ribosomal RNA", at positions 1 to 653 of the family's 3401-position model. RNAcentral also lists the same sequence under 1 other name. The record is from RNAcentral. Lineage: Eukaryota; Fungi; Basidiomycota; Agaricomycetes; Russulales; Russulaceae.